This 460-nucleotide ribosomal RNA is filed under the name uncultured bacterium. Its description in RNAcentral is "partial 16S ribosomal RNA". It matches the Rfam family "Bacterial small subunit ribosomal RNA", at positions 338 to 795 of the family's 1533-position model. The record is from RNAcentral.
CCUACGGGUGGCAGCAGUGAGGAAUAUUGGUCAAUGGACGAGAGUCUGAACCAGCCAAGUAGCGUGAAGGAUGACUGCCCUAUGGGUUGUAAACUUCUUUUAUAUGGGAAUAAAAUGUUCCACGUGUGGGAUUUUGUAUGUACCAUAUGAAUAAGGAUCGGCUAACUCCGUGCCAGCAGCCGCGGUAAUACGGAGGAUCCGAGCGUUAUCCGGAUUUAUUGGGUUUAAAGGGAGCGUAGGUGGAUUGUUAAGUCAGUUGUGAAAGUUUGCGGCUCAACCGUAAAAUUGCAGUUGAAACUGGCAGUCUUGAGUACAGUAGAGGUGGGCGGAAUUCGUGGUGUAGCGGUGAAAUGCUUAGAUAUCACGAAGAACUCCGAUUGUGAAGGCAGUUCACUGGACUGCAACUGACACUGAGGCUCGAAAGUGUGGGUAUCAAACAGGAUUAGAUACCCGAGUAGUC